RNAcentral lists this transfer RNA (69 nucleotides) under Bos taurus (domestic cattle). It matches the Rfam family "tRNA". From Rfam's summary of the family: Transfer RNA (tRNA) molecules are approximately 80 nucleotides in length. Their secondary structure includes four short double-helical elements and three loops (D, anti-codon, and T loops). Further hydrogen bonds mediate the characteristic L-shaped molecular structure. tRNAs have two regions of fundamental functional importance: the anti-codon, which is responsible for specific mRNA codon recognition, and the 3' end, to which the tRNAs corresponding amino acid is attached (by aminoacyl-tRNA synthetases). tRNAs cope with the degeneracy of the genetic code in two manners: having more than one tRNA (with a specific anti-codon) for a particular amino acid; and 'wobble' base-pairing, i.e. permitting non-standard base-pairing at the 3rd anti-codon position. RNAcentral also lists the same sequence under 3 other names. Lineage: Eukaryota; Metazoa; Chordata; Mammalia; Artiodactyla; Bovidae. The record is from Rfam by way of RNAcentral.
CCUGGUGGCUCAGAUGGUAAAGAAUUUGCCUGCAAUGCAGGAGACCCAGGUUCAAUUCCUGGGUCAGGA